UUAUUAUUAUUAUUAUUAAGCUGGCAGAAACAAUCUUUUAGCGCAUCAGACACAAUCAUCCGUAGCAUUUCUUCCGGCCCUUUAAGUUUUGCGUUCAAAUUCCGCUGAGGUUUACUUUGUCUUUCAUCAUUUCGGGGUCGAAAAACUAUGUACCAGUU
This is a long non-coding RNA of Octopus sinensis (East Asian common octopus), 158 nucleotides long. RefSeq lists it as uncharacterized. The record is from RefSeq and is a predicted model, not a curated record. The transcript is spliced from 3 exons. NCBI's taxonomy places the organism in Eukaryota, Metazoa, Mollusca, Cephalopoda, Octopoda, Octopodidae.